Molecule: long non-coding RNA, 1048 nt
Organism: Brassica napus (rape)
Lineage: Eukaryota; Viridiplantae; Streptophyta; Magnoliopsida; Brassicales; Brassicaceae
Exons: 8
Source: RefSeq, a predicted model, not a curated record
CCAAGCUCACACUAAUUCUAGCUUCUACCCGAUAGACUCCAGAUAUUUUUGCCACUUUCAGACAACUUUCUGGUUACAAAAAAAAAAUCAAACUCUCAAAAGGCGAUUGAAGCAAGCAAUGAGUUUUGUCUUCCACGAAUCGACCUCGUCUCCAAGAUCCGAUGAAAUAGAAGUUGGUCGGAUGCAUUGAAAGAAAGACCUUGUUGAGCUCAUUCGAUUUGGUGAUUCAAUAGACAAAAACUCCAAAGGUUUCAUUAAAAACAUUUCACUCUCUCAGCUGUCGGUUCCUCUCGGUUAAAGAGAAGAAUUGAAGAAGAUGGUGAUUUCCGAAAGUAACACUUCAUCUGAUCCCUAAAAGAUGAGAUGGAAACGUGUUGCGAUGACUUAUAAGUAAAUAAUUUCUUUAAAGUUUAAGCCGUACAAACAUGGUGUUGAGUUUGUCUGAAACAAACAUUCAAAAGGUUUGCAACGGGAGUUCACAAAUAUUUCUACAAAUGAAAAAAUCUGUAUCAUUAAACAUUGAUCGAUGUAUAUAAACUAUCACGGGAACUACAGUCCAGUUGUCAUCCACGCUGUGCACUACAAACAAUCAGUAUGAAGAUAAGUGUUCUACUGAGUACCAUCCUUACUUGUUUUAAUAUAUAUUCAUUUGGUCAAAAUGUAAGGAAUGCAUACCUAUGACAACUCAGGAAUUUAAAUGUUAUUAUUUUUACACUUUUACAGAUUAGAAACGUAAGGAAAUAAACUAAGAAGAUUAGGAUAAUUCUGAGAUGGCAUGAGACAGUAGCUAACGUUAAUCAGGUGUGUAUGACUUUGGCUUCAAUCAACCAAAUUGUUUUCCAUGGCCUAAUCUCUCAUCAAGUUUGCAGAUUCCAAUAAACGUUCAAGCUUUGGUGUUGAUGGAAAAACAGAAUCAAUAUACAAAGAUGUUAUGUACGUAUACUGUAUAAGAAUUGAAAAUCAGUGUUGCUGUUUAUAACAAUUGAAGUUUUGUAAAACGUAGGUGUUGCUGUUUAAAUAACCCGAUAGGAAGGCAUUGUUAAUUAAA